This 492-nucleotide ribosomal RNA is filed under the name uncultured bacterium. RNAcentral describes it as "bacterial SSU rRNA". It matches the Rfam family "Bacterial small subunit ribosomal RNA", at positions 28 to 536 of the family's 1533-position model. The record is from RNAcentral.
GACGAACGCUGGCGGCGUGCUUAACACAUGCAAGUCGAGCGAGGCCCUUCCUUCGGGAAGGUGCCCUAGCGGCGAACGGGUGAGUAACACGUGGGCAACCUGCCUCUAGCACUGGGAUAACUCCGGGAAACCGGGGCUAAUACCGGAUAUGACCUCCGAAGGCAUCUUCGUUGGUGUAAAGGAUUCUGGCUAGAGAUGGGCCCGCGGCCUAUCAGCUUGUUGGUGGGGUAACGGCCUACCAAGGCGACGACGGGUAGCCGGCCUGAGAGGGCGACCGGCCACGACUGGGACUGAGACACGGCCCAGACUCCUACGGGAGGCAGCAGUGGGGAAUAUUGCACAAUGGGCGAAAGCCUGAUGCAGCGACGCCGCGCGAGGGAUGAAGGCCUUCGGUUGUAAACCUCUUCUAGCAGGACGAAGCGCAAGUGACGGUACCUGCAGAAGAAGCACCGGCCAACUACGUGCCAGCGGCCGCGGUAAAAUAGACGUACU